Molecule: long non-coding RNA, 3576 nt
Organism: Homo sapiens (human)
Lineage: Eukaryota; Metazoa; Chordata; Mammalia; Primates; Hominidae
Exons: 2
Source: RefSeq, a predicted model, not a curated record
AUCACAUUCUCUGAUUCUGCAAAAGCAGGUGGGAGCCCUAGAGAGAGUUCUCGUUUUUUUUUUUUUUUUUUUUUUUUUCUUUUUUGAGAUGGAGUCUCGCUUAGAGGCUCAGGAUGGAGCCCAAUGGAGCAAUCUCGGCUCACUGCAACAUCCGCUUCCUGGUUUCAGGCGAUUCUACUGCCUCAGCCUACCGAGGAGCUGGGUUAACAGGCACCCGUUAUUAUGCCCAGCUAAUUUUUGUAUUUUCAUAGAGACAGGGUUUAACCAUGUUGGCCACGCUGGACUCGAACUCCUGCCAUCAGGUGAUCUGUCAGCCUCAGCCUUUCAAUGUGCCGAGAUUACAGGCGUGAGCCACUGUGGCCAGCGAGUUCUCUUUUCUUUGUGAAGGGCAAGGCAAAGUGGAAUGGAUUAAUCUAAAAGCGGAGUGCAUGCCCUGGAAAACAUCAUGGUUAGACCCAUGUGAGACAGGUUAGUUUUACUGCGUGUGUUCUCCAUGUGUUGUUGCCCAUGUGUUGCUACCAUGGUAAUCCUGCUGAGUAUGAGAGGAAUCAAAGUUUCACACAUUUGGUGUAUGUGCUUGACUGAGGAACCAAUGGGGUGAAGCUACCAUCUGUGGGAUUAUGACUGAACGCCUCUAAAUCAGAAUCCCGCCCAGAAGAAAGGAUGCAGCAGCGCUGGCAAGACUCGGUUGGCCUCAGAUAGCCAGUCCCCAGCCUUUGCCACCGGCCGGACGCUCCGCCCCGCUGUGCGCCAAGACCUUGCUCCGGUCUUAUCAUCCUAAAAAACGGGGUGCGGCCCCCCAUCCUAAAAAACGGGGUGCGGCCAGAAAGGCGUUUGCUCCCUGGCCCGUCACAUAACAUGCUCAUGGGGAAUCUGAUACUAAACUAUUGGUAAACGCCCUGCUUCUGGGUCAGGGUUUCCUAUGGAGCAGAGCAACUCCCUCACUGCAACCUAUUGAAAGUCAGCCCUCCACACAAGGGGCUCUCAACCAGUGUGCGGGAAAGCUAGCGUUGUGGCGUGUCCUGUAUAAUUCAGCCCUGGACCUCUACCUUCCUUCUUCCCUCCUUUUGCCCCGGGGACUUAGUUCCCGGGCCUGCUCAGGCCCCCCGCCCCGGAGCCCCAGGGCAUGCAGGGCUGUCUCUCGCGAGAUAACAUUGGCGUCGGCCGUGCAUUUGGGAGGGGUCGUUCCCCAACAGCAGGCUUUCCAAGAUGCAGCGCUGGGGGUUGCGAGGUAGGGUUGGCGCCCCUGCUCGAUGUUCCACCUCUCUGAUUGAGCUUCUUUCUCCCAUCCCGCUGGGAAUUCCUCCACGAGUUGGGACCGGAUUCUUCGAGCCUCGUGCGAAUGGCUGAGGCGCGGGUGUCAGAGGUUUUGCCCCUGCAGUCCCUGCCUGAGUAGUGUUCGCGCGAUGCCCGUGGGUGGCUGUUGGGGUCACAGUCCCUCUCCCCGCCUCAGGGGUGCUGGGAUGAAAGACUAGCUAGUCACUACCCUUGUGUCUUUACUCCUCUUCUCUGUCCGGGUCAACCAGCGGACUGCGGGGAAAUGGCUGGCAGGUCUGCCAAGUUAGACGGCCUCAAACCUGGGCCGGUUCUGUGUGAUAAGGUUCCAACUGCGUCUGAUCGCUUCCCUCCGCGAGCACCACAUUUGGUCUUUAGGGUGGACCCUGUCGAUUAGAUGCUGGCGUUUGGCUUCCCGAUCAGCCCGCGAAUCAGCCGACUGCGGGAAGCAAGCAACAUCCAGUUGACACGGCCGCGGGCUUCUCUGUCUGGAAGACCUGGGACCAGGGCCUAAGGCCCCAGUCCUCAGGUCUCUGGUCGCCGUGCCCACCUGAUGUCCGCGGCAAGCGUUGGACUUGACCGUCAACUUGGGAUUUCUAAGGUAGACCAGAUAACUUUGGUCAGCAGCAGUACCGCCCGCAUUCACUAGGUGUCGCUUUUUCCUUGCGUUGUUUCUUCCUCUCCAACUGUUUCCACAGUACUUUCAGUUUCUCUUCGUUUUGUUUUUCUUUUAUUUUUCUUGCUCCUCUUUCUACACACUGAAGUUGCUGUUGUUUUACAUUUACCUUUUAUUUAUUUGUAGUUUUUGAGGCAGGUUGGAGUGUAAGAAUGCAAUCUCGGCUUACAGCCGCCUCGACUUUCCAGGACUCCCUCAGGUGAUCUUCCUAUCUCAGCCUUCCAAGUGGCUGAGACUACAGGAAUCACUUAAUUCUGUGAUGUCGAAGCUGAAGUGAGCCGUGAUGAUGCCUUGCCCUCCAGUCUGAGUGUUUCAGAAGGUGGAGUUUCGCUCUUAUUGCCCAGGCUGGAGUUCAGUGGCGUGACCUCAGCUCACCGCAACCUCUGCCGCCUGUGUUCAAGAGAUUUUCCAGUCUUCACCCUUUCGAGUAGCUGAAACCACAGGCAAACACCUCCAGGCCUGGCUAAUUUUUUUUUUUUCAUAGAGACUAGGUAGCUCCAUAAUGGUCAGGCUGGUCUAGAACACCCAACCUGAGGCGUACCACCCAACUUGACCACCCAAAGUGCUGAGAUUAAAGGCGUGAGCUCCGCGUCUGGCCAUAACAUCUUAUCCUAUAGAAGCCCAGAGAGGUUAGGUAUGUAGUCCCUGAGACCAGCCUUCCUUGGAUGAACUCCAAAGUGAUGGCUGAGGAUUAGGGAGUGUGGGGUGGGGGCUGGAAAGUCGGUCCCCUAUUGUUGCUACCUAGGCCAUGACAUCCCCAUACUCCCAUCGCCUGCUCACCGUUUGAGAUUCCCCCCCACCACCGCCUUGGUGGCUGAACUCUUACUUUAAUUUCUGUCUUUCUUCGUUUGUUGGGUUUCAGGAGGGGGUGCAGGAAAGACGGUGUGCGUGGGGAGGGGGUGUAGGGUGGGGAUGGAGGGGAGCGUCCUAAGGGUCGAUGUAGUGUCAUGCCUCUUUCAUCACCACCACCGAAGAUGAAACAAUAAUCAUCUAAAUACCGCGUGUUCUCACACAUAAGUGGGAACUACAUAAUGAGAAUGCAUGCGAAGAACUAGGGGGACGAGAGACGCAGGAGCCUACCUGAGGGAGGACGUGUGGAAGGACAGACAGCUUCAGGACAAAGCAAAACGAGCAGAACACAAAAACUGUAGGGGACUGCGCUGAGAAUCCGGGUGAGGAAAUCAUCGGCACACUGAACCCCCUACUCAGAAGUUUACCUAUGAAACAAUCUUGCACAUGUAUGCUUCAAAAACAAAUAACAGUUAGGGAAGAAAGAGAGAGAGAGAGAAAGAGAGAGAGACAAGUAAAAUAAAGCACCACCUCCUUGACCUGACUCAGGGCGUUUGGGGUCUUCUGGGGAAAUGUUCUGAAACAAUGGAGUAUUUUGGUCUGUUCUUUCUUGUGUCUUUUUUUUUUUUUUAAGACGGACUCUCGCUCAGCCACCCAGGCUGGAAUGCAGUGGUGCACUGGGUUCACUGCAGCAAAUAUCUCCCGGGUUGAAGCGAUUCUCCAGUCUCAUCCUCCUGAGUGGCCGGGAUUACAGUCACGCGCCAUAAUGCCCUGCUAAUUUUUGAACAUUAGUAGAGAAGGGGUAUUGCCAUGCUUGCGACGCUGGACUUGAAGGC